GGUUUAAACCAUUUUUAAAAAGGCGUCAAACAUCACUCUCGCCCGAAAUAGUAGUGUAACGUUACAACAUAAAAAAGGAAAUACCGGUAUAAGUAAUGAUUAUAAGAUUUCUUAGUAAGUUGGGUACCUUGAGCUUACAUUCAGUGACUGUGUACACUCAUUAUUACGGUACAAUUUGUGCUUUUACGUAGAAAAACCCCAACAAAUAUGGUAUGAUUGCCAAUGAAACAACUAUUCACCAGAGUUUAAAAGUGGAUGUAAGCAAUUGUCAUUAUUCAACAAUGAGAUACCGUAUAGCCGGCAAUCGAAGGCUCCGAAGCGAAUAAUGUGAAGUUUAAACAAGACAAGAAAACUGACGGCUUAAAUUAUAACAAAACUAUUCUACUAAAACAAAUACGACAGACACGAAGCAAACGAGCACGUCGAAGUCCAUUGACGAAAGAGGGACGAGAUACCACAGGAACAGACAAACUCAUAAUCGAAAAUAAACUGACAACGCCAUGGCUAAAAAUGAAAAAGACCGCUUGAAACUGAAAAAUAAUAGUACACAAGAAACAACAUAGAAAACUUAAGACUGAGCAACACGAACCCUACAAAAACUAGGGGUGAUCUCAGGUGCUCCGGGAGGGUAGGCAGAUCCUGCUCCACAUGCAUCACCCAUCACCCGUCGUUUUCUCAUAAAAAAAAC
This 688-nucleotide long non-coding RNA is filed under the name Mytilus galloprovincialis (Mediterranean mussel). The record is from RNAcentral. Lineage: Eukaryota; Metazoa; Mollusca; Bivalvia; Mytilida; Mytilidae.